This 1380-nucleotide ribosomal RNA is filed under the name Amanita sp. 'petersenii'. Its description in RNAcentral is "partial 28S ribosomal RNA". It matches the Rfam family "Eukaryotic large subunit ribosomal RNA", at positions 74 to 1417 of the family's 3401-position model. The record is from RNAcentral. Lineage: Eukaryota; Fungi; Basidiomycota; Agaricomycetes; Agaricales; Amanitaceae.
AUUCCCCUAGUAACUGCGAGUGAAGCGGGAAAAGCUCAAAUUUGAAAUCUGGCAGUCUUUUUUUUCUUCUUUGGCUGUCCGAGUUGUAAUCUAGAGAAGUGCUUACCUGCACUGGACCAUGUAUAAGUCUCCUGGAAUGGAGCGUCGCAGAGGGUGAGAAUCCCGUCUUUGACAUGGACUGCCAGUGUGUUGUGGUGUGCUCUCAAAGAGUCGAGUUGUUUGGGAAUGCAGCUCUAAAUGGGUGGUAAACUCCAUCUAAAGCUAAAUAUUGGCGAGAGACCGAUAGCGAACAAGUACCGUGAGGGAAAGAUGAAAAGGACUUUGGAAAGAGAGUUAAACAGUAUGUGAAAUUGUUGAAAGGGAAACGCUUGAAGUCAGUUAUGUUGGCUAGGGAUCAACCUAGCUWUUUAUUGCUGGGUGAAUUUCCUAGUCUGACAGGCCAACAUCAGUCUUGACUGCUAGAAAAGAGCAGAGGGAAUGUGGCACCUUUGGGUGUGUUAUAGCCUUUUGUCAUAUGCGGCAGUUGGGAYUGAGGGAUGCAGCGUGCCGUGAGGCUGGGUUUCAACCACGUUCGCGCUUAGGAUGUUGGCUUUUAAUGGCUUCAAUCGACCCGUCUUGAAACACGGACCAAGGAGUCUAACAUGCCUGUGAGUGUUUGGGUGGGGAAAACCCUUGUGCACAAUGAAAGUGAAAGUUGAGAUCCCUGUCAUGGGGAGCAUCGACGCCCGGACCUGAGCUUUUAAGCAAAGGAUCYGCGGUAGAGCAUGCAUGUUGGGACCCGAAAGAUGGUGAACUAUGCCUGAAUAGGGCAAAGCCAGAGGAAACUCUGGUGGAGGCUCGUAGCGAUUCUGACGUGCAAAUCGAUCGUCAAAUUUGGGUAUAGGGGCGAAAGACUAAUCGAACCAUUUAGUAGCUGGUUCCUGCCGAAGUUUCCCUCAGGAUAGCAGAAGCUCAUUAUCAGAUUUAUGUGGUAAAGCGAAUGAUUAGAGGCCUUGGGGUUGAAACAACCUUAACCUAUUCUCAAACUUUAAAUAUGUAAGAACGAGCUGUCACUUGACUGGACUGCUCGGUGAUUGAGAGCUUCUAGUGGGCCAUUUUUGGUAAGCAGAACUGGCGAUGCGGGAUGAACCGAUCGCAAGGUUAAGGUGCCAGAGUUCACGCUCAUCAGACACCACAAAAGGUGUUAGUUCAUCUAGACAGCAGGACGGUGGCCAUGGAAGUCGGAAUCCGCUAAGGAGUGUGUAACAACUCACCUGCCGAAUGAACUAGCCCUGAAAAUGGAUGGCGCUUAAGCGUGACACCCAUACCUUGCUGUCAGUGUUGGUAGUGAUGCACUGACAGAGUAGGCAGGCGUGGAGGUCAGUGAAGAAGCCUAGGCAG